This 430-nucleotide ribosomal RNA is filed under the name Klebsiella pneumoniae. RNAcentral's name for it is "bacterial SSU rRNA". It matches the Rfam family "Bacterial small subunit ribosomal RNA", at positions 934 to 1365 of the family's 1533-position model. The record is from RNAcentral. Lineage: Bacteria; Pseudomonadati; Pseudomonadota; Gammaproteobacteria; Enterobacterales; Enterobacteriaceae.
GGAGCAUGUGGUUUAAUUCGAUGCAACGCGAAGAACCUUACCUGGUCUUGACAUCCACAGAACUUUCCAGAGAUGGAUUGGUGCCUUCGGGAACUGUGAGACAGGUGCUGCAUGGCUGUCGUCAGCUCGUGUUGUGAAAUGUUGGGUUAAGUCCCGCAACGAGCGCAACCCUUAUCCUUUGUUGCCAGCGGUCGGCCGGGAACUCAAAGGAGACUGCCAGUGAUAAACUGGAGGAAGGUGGGGAUGACGUCAAGUCAUCAUGGCCCUUACGACCAGGGCUACACACGUGCUACAAUGGCAUAUACAAAGAGAAGCGACCUCGCGAGAGCAAGCGGACCUCAUAAAGUAUGUCGUAGUCCGGAUUGGAGUCUGCAACUCGACUCCAUGAAGUCGGAAUCGCUAGUAAUCGUAGAUCAGAAUGCUACGGUGA